Molecule: small nucleolar RNA, 65 nt
Organism: Anser brachyrhynchus (Pink-footed goose)
Lineage: Eukaryota; Metazoa; Chordata; Aves; Anseriformes; Anatidae
Gene: SNORD63
Rfam family: Small nucleolar RNA SNORD63
About the family: snoRNA U63 is found in both humans and mice. U63 is a member of the C/D class of snoRNA which contain C (UGAUGA) and D (CUGA) box motifs.
Source: Ensembl
GUGCCAUGAUGUAACUGUCAACGCAUCAUCCUGAAGGAUCGUGUGGAGACCUGUCACUGAGCACC